CGUAGGGUGCAAGCGUUAAUCGGAAUUACUGGGCGUAAAGCGUGCGCAGGCGGUUAUGUAAGACAGAGGUGAAAUCCCCGGGCUCAACCUGGGAACUGCCUUUGUGACUGCAUAGCUAGAGUACGGCAGAGGGGGAUGGAAUUCCGCGUGUAGCAGUGAAAUGCGUAGAUAUGCGGAGGAACACCGAUGGCGAAGGCAAUCCCCUGGGCCUGUACUGACGCUCAUGCACGAAAGCGUGGGGAGCAAACAGGAUUAGAUACCCUGGUAGUCCACGCCCUAAACGAUGUCAACUGGUUGUUGGGUCUUCACUGACUCAGUACGAGCUAACGCGUGAAGUUGACCGCCUGGGAGUACGGCCGCAAGGUUG
RNAcentral lists this ribosomal RNA (367 nucleotides) under uncultured organism. RNAcentral's name for it is "bacterial SSU rRNA". It matches the Rfam family "Bacterial small subunit ribosomal RNA", at positions 526 to 896 of the family's 1533-position model. The record is from RNAcentral.